UAGCCAAAAUUGUUGGUAGCCUUUUUUGU
Molecule: small RNA, 29 nt
Filed under: Bombyx mori (domestic silkworm)
Lineage: Eukaryota; Metazoa; Arthropoda; Insecta; Lepidoptera; Bombycidae
Description: ovarian small RNA-22320
Source: RNAcentral